Non-coding RNA from Myotis brandtii (Brandt's bat), 75 nucleotides. NCBI's taxonomy places the organism in Eukaryota, Metazoa, Chordata, Mammalia, Chiroptera, Vespertilionidae. The record is from Rfam.
GGUGGUUCUCAGGUGAUGCACCCCAGAAUUGGGCUCCCUCCUCUCUGGUUCCCAGUAUGUCACCCAAAAACUGCA